This 735-nucleotide ribosomal RNA is filed under the name uncultured Corynebacterium sp. RNAcentral describes it as "bacterial SSU rRNA". It matches the Rfam family "Bacterial small subunit ribosomal RNA", at positions 28 to 776 of the family's 1533-position model. Lineage: Bacteria; Bacillati; Actinomycetota; Actinomycetes; Mycobacteriales; Corynebacteriaceae. The record is from RNAcentral.
GACGAACGCUGGCGGCGUGCUUAACACAUGCAAGUCGAACGGUAAGGCUCCAGCUUGCUGGGGUACACGAGUGGCGAACGGGUGAGUAACACGUGGGUGACCUGCCCUGCACUUCGGGAUAAGCCUGGGAAACUGGGUCUAAUACCGGAUAGGACCGCACCGUGAGGGUGUGGUGGAAAGUUUUUUCGGUGUGGGAUGGGCCCGCGGCCUAUCAGCUUGUUGGUGGGGUAAUGGCCUACCAAGGCGGCGACGGGUAGCCGGCCUGAGAGGGUGGACGGCCACAUUGGGACUGAGACACGCCCCAGACUCCUACGGGAGGCAGCAGUGGGGAAUAUUGCACAAUGGGCGGAAGCCUGAUGCAGCGACGCCGCGUGGGGGAUGACGGCCUUCGGGUUGUAAACUCCUUUCACCAUCGACGAAGGGUUUCUGACGGUAGAUGGAGAAGAAGCACCGGCUAACUACGUGCCAGCAGCCGCGGUAAUACGUAGGGUGCGAGCGUUGUCCGGAAUUACUGGGCGUAAAGAGCUCGUAGGUGGUUUGUCGCGUCGUCUGUGAAAUUCCGGGGCUUAACUCCGGGCGUGCAGGCGAUACGGGCAUAACUUGAGUACUGUAGGGGAGACUGGAAUUCCUGGUGUAGCGGUGAAAUGCGCAAUAUCAGGAGGAACACCGGUGGCGAAGGCGGGUCUCUGUGCAGUAACUGACGCUGAGGAGCGAAAGCAUGGGGGAGCGAACAGG